Molecule: ribosomal RNA, 405 nt
Filed under: uncultured bacterium
Lineage: Bacteria
Description: bacterial SSU rRNA
Rfam family: Bacterial small subunit ribosomal RNA
Source: RNAcentral
AAUCAACGCUGGCGGCGUGCCUAACACAUGCAAGUCGAGCGGGAAAAGGGGCUUCGGCUCCUGAGUAUAGCGGCGGACGGGUGAGUAACACGUGGGUAAUUUGCCCUUGGGUGUGGAAUAACUCAGGGAAACUUGAGCUAAUACCGCAUGACAUCCUCUUCGCACACGAGUCGAGGAUCAAAGCCGGGGACCCUUCGGGGCCUGGCGCCUGAGGAGAAGCCCGCGCCCGAUUAGCAGUUGGUGAGGUAAUGGCUCACCAAGGCUUCGAUCGGUAGCCGGCCUGAGAGGGCGGACGGCCACACUGGGACUGAGACACGGCCCAGACUCCUACGGGAGGCAGCAGUGGGGAAUCUUGCGCAAUGGGCGAAAGCCUGACGCAGCGACGCCGCGUGAGGGAUGACGGCC